Molecule: transfer RNA, 74 nt
Filed under: Shouchella clausii
Lineage: Bacteria; Bacillati; Bacillota; Bacilli; Caryophanales; Bacillaceae
Description: tRNA-Ile
Rfam family: tRNA
About the family: Transfer RNA (tRNA) molecules are approximately 80 nucleotides in length.
Source: RNAcentral
GGACUCUUAGCUCAGAUGGUCAGAGCAGUCGGCUCAUAACCGAUUGGUCGUAGGUUCAAGUCCUACAGAGUCCA